GGUCAAGUGAAGAAGCGCAUACGGUGGAUGCCUUGGCAGUCAGAGGCGAUGAAAGACGUGGUAGCCUGCGAAAAGCUUCGGGGAGUCGGCAAACAGACUUUGAUCCGGAGAUCUCUGAAUGGGGGAACCCACCUAGGAUAACCUAGGUAUCUUGUACUGAAUCCAUAGGUGCAAGAGGCGAACCAGGGGAACUGAAACAUCUAAGUACCCUGAGGAAAAGAAAUCAACCGAGAUUCCCUUAGUAGUGGCGAGCGAACGGGGAUUAGCCCUUAAGCUUCAUUGAUUUUAGCGGAACGCUCUGGAAAGUGCGGCCAUAGUGGGUGAUAGCCCCGUACGCGAAAGGAUCUUUGAAGUGAAAUCGAGUAGGACGGAGCACGAGAAACUUUGUCUGAACAUGGGGGGACCAUCCUCCAAGGCUAAAUACUACUGACUGACCGAUAGUGAACCAGUACCGUGAGGGAAAGGCGAAAAGAACCCCGGAGAGGGGAGUGAAAUAGAACCUGAAACCGUAUGCGUACAAGCAGUGGGAGCCUACUUGUUAGGUGACUGCGUACCUUUUGUAUAAUGGGUCAGCGACUUAUAUUCAGUGGCAAGCUUAACCGUAUAGGGUAGGCGUAGCGAAAGCGAGUCUUAAUAGGGCGUUUAGUCGCUGGGUAUAGACCCGAAACCGGGCGAUCUAUCCAUGAGCAGGUUGAAGGUUAGGUAACACUGACUGGAGGACCGAACCCACUCCCGUUGAAAAGGUAGGGGAUGACUUGUGGAUCGGAGUGAAAGGCUAAUCAAGCUCGGAGAUAGCUGGUUCUCCUCGAAAGCUAUUUAGGUAGCGCCUCAUGUAUCACUCUGGGGGGUAGAGCACUGUUUCGGCUAGGGGGUCAUCCCGACUUACCAAACCGAUGCAAACUCCGAAUACCCAGAAGUGCCGAGCAUGGGAGACACACGGCGGGUGCUAACGUCCGUCGUGAAAAGGGAAACAACCCAGACCGCCAGCUAAGGUCCCAAAGUUGUGGUUAAGUGGUAAACGAUGUGGGAAGGCUUAGACAGCUAGGAGGUUGGCUUAGAAGCAGCCACCCUUUAAAGAAAGCGUAAUAGCUCACUAGUCGAGUCGGCCUGCGCGGAAGAUGUAACGGGGCUCAAACCACACACCGAAGCUGCGGGUGUCACGCAAGUGACGCGGUAGAGGAGCGUUCUGUAAGCCUGUGAAGGUGAGUUGAGAAGCUUGCUGGAGGUAUCAGAAGUGCGAAUGCUGACAUGAGUAACGACAAUGGGUGUGAAAAACACCCACGCCGAAAGACCAAGGGUUCCUGCGCAACGUUAAUCGACGCAGGGUUAGUCGGUUCCUAAGGCGAGGCUGAAAAGCGUAGUCGAUGGGAAACAGGUUAAUAUUCCUGUACUUCUGGUUACUGCGAUGGAGGGACGGAGAAGGCUAGGCCAGCUUGGCGUUGGUUGUCCAAGUUUAAGGUGGUAGGCUGAAAUCUUAGGUAAAUCCGGGGUUUCAAGGCCGAGAGCUGAUGACGAGUCGUCUUUUAGAUGACGAAGUGGUUGAUGCCAUGCUUCCAAGAAAAGCUUCUAAGCUUCAGGUAACCAGGAACCGUACCCCAAACCGACACAGGUGGUCGGGUAGAGAAUACCAAGGCGCUUGAGAGAACUCGGGUGAAGGAACUAGGCAAAAUGGCACCGUAACUUCGGGAGAAGGUGCGCCGGCUAGGG
This 1707-nucleotide ribosomal RNA is filed under the name Pseudomonas aeruginosa. RNAcentral's name for it is "partial 23S ribosomal RNA". It matches the Rfam family "Bacterial large subunit ribosomal RNA", at positions 1 to 1760 of the family's 2925-position model. Lineage: Bacteria; Pseudomonadati; Pseudomonadota; Gammaproteobacteria; Pseudomonadales; Pseudomonadaceae. The record is from RNAcentral.